GAAUUCCUUAAAAAUCUUUUUUUCUAAUUGGAACCAAAAACAACAACAUGGAGAUGAAUAAUGCGAAGCAAGCACCAUAUUCACUGUAAUAUGAAAAAAAUUUUAUUAGAACUUGGAUUGAUCAUGUUAAAUCAAACAGAAAGUUUAAAAAGAGAAAGAAUUUUUUAUAAUUUAUUAAAUCAAAAUUGUGUAAAAACAGAAUUGGGUGUAUUAGAUAACAUUGAGCUUCCAAACUUUGUGAUUUCCACAUUAACUUAUAGGCCACAGUUCUAUAUUGGUGUUUCCUAGCCAUAGGUUUAUCAUAUGUGUCAAUUUGAGAAAUAAAUGGAGUUGAAUAGACAGUAAAAAAAAUUAGGUGGAAAUGUGUCUUUGAUAUUAAGAAAGGUAUUAAUAGCAGGACUAAAGUAAGUGUGCUGAUCACUGGAAGCUGGAAAUAGUAUGCUCACUUACUAGGAGCUGGCUACAUGAUGAGGCCAUUACCUUCACAAGGGAUGAUAAAAGUAAGAAAAUGGUAUUCCUGAAACAGACUAGUUAUGUGAAAUACAUAGAACAAUGUUUAGAAGAGAUGAAAACUGAGGAAUUGGAACUGGACCUGAUAACAGCAGAGGUGUGUUAUUAGAUAUAGUAGAAGAAAAGAUCUAUUGGAAUUUUUAUAUUUUAUCUGUUUGCAUAUCUAAAAUUCCAUAAACAACCACUGACUGCUUGCCUGAUUGUGGAAAGAUAUUUUGUUCCCAUUUACCCCUUGAAGAAGAAAAUUGAUAAAUAGAUCAAAGGAAUAUUGAUUAAUUUUUAAUGGUGAAAAUUGUAAAAGUUGAUUAUUAUAACAUGAUAAUUGGCUAAUUCAGGAAAAUAGAUAAACUGAUAAAACUCGGGAACAAAGAGGGCCAAAGAAUGGCAGAAGGUCAUAGUCAAUUUGUAUUUAUUGUAUAGUAUAUUUCUGACUUAUGCAGUUAAUUCAUCCAAAAAAUUUCCACAUAAAUCAAAAAAAUGUUUAAAUACAACAAUGUUUAAAAACAAUAUAUAUGAAGUGUCAUGUUAGCAAACAGAAUGGUUAAAUAAAAUUUAUGAAUAUAUUUUUAACUGUAGAUAAGAAAAUUGAGAGCUAUAAGUGAUAUUUUUAUA
This 1122-nucleotide long non-coding RNA is filed under the name Androctonus crassicauda. The record is from RNAcentral. Lineage: Eukaryota; Metazoa; Arthropoda; Arachnida; Scorpiones; Buthidae.